RNAcentral lists this ribosomal RNA (253 nucleotides) under uncultured bacterium. Its description in RNAcentral is "partial 16S ribosomal RNA". It matches the Rfam family "Bacterial small subunit ribosomal RNA", at positions 524 to 776 of the family's 1533-position model. The record is from RNAcentral.
UACAGAGGGUGCGAGCGUUAAUCGGAAUUACUGGGCGUAAAGCGCACGUAGGCGGCUUUGUAAGUUAGAGGUGAAAGCCCGGGGCUCAACUCCGGAAUUGCCUUUAAGACUGCAUCGCUAGAAUUGUGGAGAGGUAAGUGGAAUUCCGAGUGUAGAGGUGAAAUUCGUAGAUAUCGAGAGGAACACCGGUGGCGAAGGCGGCCUUCUGGACAGUGACUGACGCUGAGACGCGAAAGCGUGGGGAGCAAACAGG